UCAAACGCCGGUCCAGGAACCGGGGUAAAACGGAUGAUCCAAGCGUUAGCCUGAAUCAUUGGGUUUAAAGGGUCCGUAGGCUGUCUUAUAAGUCAGCGGGGAAAGUGUUUGGCUUAACCGAAAAAUUGCCAUUGAUACUGUAGGGCUUGAAUUAUUGUGAAGUAACUAGAAUAUGUAGUGUAGCGGUGAAAUGCUUAGAUAUUACAUGGAAUACCAAUUGCGAAGGCAGGUUACUAACAAUGGAUUGACGCUGAUGGACGAAAGCGUGGGUAGCGAACAGGAUUAGAUACCCUUGUAGUC
RNAcentral lists this ribosomal RNA (300 nucleotides) under uncultured Sulfolobus sp. RNAcentral's name for it is "bacterial SSU rRNA". It matches the Rfam family "Bacterial small subunit ribosomal RNA", at positions 496 to 795 of the family's 1533-position model. Lineage: Archaea; Thermoproteati; Thermoproteota; Thermoprotei; Sulfolobales; Sulfolobaceae. The record is from RNAcentral.